UACGUAGGGGUGCAGCGUUAAUCGGAAUUACUGGGCGUAAAGCGUGCGCAGGCGGUUCGUUGUGUCGGCGGUGAAAGCCCCGGGCUUAACCUGGGAAUGGCCGUUGAAACUGGCGAACUGGAGUGUGGCAGAGGGGGGUGGAAUUCCGCGUGUAGCAGUGAAAUGCGUAGAGAUGCGGAGGAACACCGAUGGCGAAGGCAGCCCCCUGGGCUAACACUGACGCUCAGGCACGAAAGCGUGGGGAGCAAACAGG
Molecule: ribosomal RNA, 253 nt
Filed under: uncultured bacterium
Lineage: Bacteria
Description: partial 16S ribosomal RNA
Rfam family: Bacterial small subunit ribosomal RNA
Source: RNAcentral